ACGUAUGGAGCAAGCGUUAUCCGGAUUUACUGGGUGUAAAGGGAGUGUAGGUGGCCAUACAAGUCAGAAGUGAAAAUCCGGGGCUCAACCCCGGAACUGCUUUUGAAACUGUAAGGCUGGAGUGCAGGAGGGGUGAGUGGAAUUCCUAGUGUAGCGGUGAAAUGCGUAGAUAUUAGGAGGAACACCAGUGGCGAAGGCGGCUCACUGGACUGUAACUGACACUGAGGCUCGAAAGCGUGGGGAGCAAACAG
Molecule: ribosomal RNA, 251 nt
Filed under: uncultured bacterium
Lineage: Bacteria
Description: partial 16S ribosomal RNA
Rfam family: Bacterial small subunit ribosomal RNA
Source: RNAcentral